This 2615-nucleotide ribosomal RNA is filed under the name Cytobacillus firmus. RNAcentral describes it as "bacterial LSU rRNA". It matches the Rfam family "Bacterial large subunit ribosomal RNA", at positions 14 to 2619 of the family's 2925-position model. Lineage: Bacteria; Bacillati; Bacillota; Bacilli; Caryophanales; Bacillaceae. The record is from RNAcentral.
AGGGCGCACGGUGAAUGCCUUGGCACUAGGAGCCGAUGAAGGACGGUACUAACACCGAUAUGCUUCGGGGAGCUGUAAGUAAGCUUUGAUCCGGAGAUUUCCGAAUGGGGAAACCCCCUAUCCGUAAUGGGAUAGGAUCUUUACCUGAAUACAUAGGGUAUGGAAGGCAGACCCGGGGAACUGAAACAUCUAAGUACCCGGAGGAAGAGAAAGCAAACGCGAUUCCCUGAGUAGCGGCGAGCGAAACGGGAUUAGCCCAAACCAGGAGGCUUGCCUCCUGGGGUUGUAGGACACUCUAUACGGAGUUACAAAGGAACGAGGUAAAUGAACAGGUCUGGAAAGGCCGGCCAGAGAAGGUAAAAGCCCUGUAGUUGAAACUUCGUUCCCUCCAGAGUGGAUCCUGAGUACGGCGGGACACGAGAAAUCCCGUCGGAAGCAGGGAGGACCAUCUCCCAAGGCUAAAUACUCCCUAGUGACCGAUAGUGAACCAGUACCGUGAGGGAAAGGUGAAAAGCACCCCGGAAGGGGAGUGAAAGAGAUCCUGAAACCGUGUGCCUACAAGUAGUUAGAGCCCGUUAAUGGGUGAUAGCGUGCCUUUUGUAGAAUGAACCGGCGAGUUACGAUUACAUGCGAGGUUAAGUUGAUGAGACGGAGCCGCAGCGAAAGCGAGUCUGAAUAGGGCGAAUGAGUAUGUGGUCGUAGACCCGAAACCAGGUGAUCUACCCAUGUCCAGGGUGAAGUCCAGGUAACACUGGAUGGAGGCCCGAACCCACGCACGUUGAAAAGUGCGGGGAUGAGGUGUGGGUAGCGGAGAAAUUCCAAUCGAACUUGGAGAUAGCUGGUUCUCUCCGAAAUAGCUUUAGGGCUAGCCUCAUGUAGUAAGAGUCUUGGAGGUAGAGCACUGUUUGGACUAGGGGCCCCCAUCGGGUUACCGAAUUCAGACAAACUCCGAAUGCCAAAGACUUAUCCAUGGGAGUCAGACUGCGAGUGAUAAGAUCCGUAGUCAAGAGGGAAACAGCCCAGACCACCAGCUAAGGUCCCAAAGUAUACGUUAAGUGGAAAAGGAUGUGGAGUUGCUUAGACAACCAGGAUGUUGGCUUAGAAGCAGCCACCAUUUAAAGAGUGCGUAAUAGCUCACUGGUCGAGUGACUCCGCGCCGAAAAUGUACCGGGGCUAAACGUAUCACCGAAGCUGUGGAUUGACAUCUUUCGAUGUCANNNNNNNNNNNNNNNNNNNNNNNNNNNNNNNNNNNNNNNNNNNNNUGGUGGAGCGCUUAGAAGUGAGAAUGCCGGUAUGAGUAGCGAAAGAUGGGUGAGAAUCCCAUCCACCGAAUGCCUAAGGUUUCCUGAGGAAGGCUCGUCCGCUCAGGGUUAGUCGGGACCUAAGCCGAGGCUGAAAAGCGUAGGCGAUGGACAACAGGUUGAUAUUCCUGUACCACCUCUUUACCGUUUGAGCAAUGGGGGGACGCAGGAGGAUAGGGUAAGCGCGCUGCUGGAUUAGCGCGUCCAAGCAGUUAGGCCGGUAACGAGGCAAAUCCCGUUACCACAUAGGCUGAGCUGUGACGGCGAGGGAAAUUUAGUACCGAAGUUCCUGAUUCCACACUGCCAAGAAAAGCCUCUAGCGAGGGAAAAGGUGCCCGUACCGCAAACCGACACAGGUAGGCGAGGAGAGAAUCCUAAGGUGAGCGAGAGAACUCUCGUUAAGGAACUCGGCAAAAUGACCCCGUAACUUCGGGAGAAGGGGUGCUCAUUAGGGUGAAUAGCCCUGAUGAGCCGCAGUGAAUAGGCCCAGGCGACUGUUUAGCAAAAACACAGGUCUCUGCGAAGCCGCAAGGCGAAGUAUAGGGGCUGACGCCUGCCCGGUGCUGGAAGGUUAAGAGGAGAGGUUAGCGCAAGCGAAGCUUUGAAUCGAAGCCCCAGUAAACGGCGGCCGUAACUAUAACGGUCCUAAGGUAGCGAAAUUCCUUGUCGGGUAAGUUCCGACCCGCACGAAAGGCGUAACGAUCUGGGCACUGUCUCAACGAGAGACUCGGUGAAAUUAUAGUACCUGUGAAGAUGCAGGUUACCCGCGACAGGACGGAAAGACCCCGUGGAGCUUUACUGUAGCCUGAUAUUGAAUUUUGGUACAGCUUGUACAGGAUAGGUAGGAGCCUGAGAAGCCGGAGCGCUAGCUUCGGUGGAGGCGUCGGUGGGAUACUACCCUGGCUGUAUUGAAAUUCUAACCCGCGCCCCUUAUCGGGGCGGGAGACAGUGUCAGGUGGGCAGUUUGACUGGGGCGGUCGCCUCCUAAAAAGUAACGGAGGCGCCCAAAGGUUCCCUCAGAAUGGUUGGAAAUCAUUCGCAGAGUGUAAAGGCACAAGGGAGCUUGACUGCGAGACCUACAAGUCGAGCAGGGACGAAAGUCGGGCUUAGUGAUCCGGUGGUUCCGCAUGGAAGGGCCAUCGCUCAACGGAUAAAAGCUACCCCGGGGAUAACAGGCUUAUCUCCCCCAAGAGUCCACAUCGACGGGGAGGUUUGGCACCUCGAUGUCGGCUCAUCGCAUCCUGGGGCUGUAGUCGGUCCCAAGGGUUGGGCUGUUCGCCCAUUAAAGCGGUACGCGAGCUGGGUUCAGAACGU